GUACUUAUCUUGCAAGAGGAACGCUAUGAUCAUAAAGGUAGUUUUCCCAGGGCAAAGCUCAUCCAUUGCAUCCCAAGAAAUGUGCUAACUCCUGUGAUUUCCCCAAAUGUGGGAAACUUGACUACAUAAUUUGUGGUAGUGGGAGACUGUGUUUGUGUUCUCCUU
This is a small nuclear RNA of Sorex araneus (European shrew), 165 nucleotides long. RefSeq annotates it as U1 spliceosomal RNA. The transcript has a single exon. The record is from RefSeq and is a predicted model, not a curated record. NCBI's taxonomy places the organism in Eukaryota, Metazoa, Chordata, Mammalia, Eulipotyphla, Soricidae.